RNAcentral lists this small RNA (28 nucleotides) under Bombyx mori (domestic silkworm). RNAcentral's name for it is "ovarian small RNA-12765". The record is from RNAcentral. Lineage: Eukaryota; Metazoa; Arthropoda; Insecta; Lepidoptera; Bombycidae.
CAACACUUUAGGGUUCCGCUUAGCGUGC